This 707-nucleotide ribosomal RNA is filed under the name uncultured bacterium. Its description in RNAcentral is "bacterial SSU rRNA". It matches the Rfam family "Bacterial small subunit ribosomal RNA", at positions 102 to 797 of the family's 1533-position model. The record is from RNAcentral.
ACGGGUGAGUAACGCGUAGGUAACCUGCCUGGUAGCGGGGGAUAACUAUUGGAAACGAUAGCUAAUACCGCAUAAGAGUAGAUGUUGCAUGACAUUUGCUUAAAAGGUGCAAUUGCAUCACUACCAGAUGGACCCGCGGUGCAUUAGCUAGUUGGUAGGGUAAAGGCCUACCAAGGCGAUGAUGCAUAGCCGACCUGAGAGGGUGAUCGGCCACAUUGGGACUGAGACACGGCCCAAACUCCUACGGGAGGCAGCAGUAGGGAAUCUUCCGCAAUGGACGCAAGUCUGACGGAGCAACGCCGCGUGAGUGAAGAAGGUCUUCGGAUCGUAAAGCUCUGUUGUUAGAGAAGAACAGCGCAUAGAGUAACUGUUAUGCGUGUGACGGUAUCUAACCAGAAAGCCACGGCUAACUACGUGCCAGCAGCCGCGGUAAUACGUAGGUGGCGAGCGUUGUCCGGAUUUAUUGGGCGUAAAGGGAGUGUAGGCGGUCUUUUAAGUCUGAUGUGAAAGCCCACGGCUCAACCGUGGAGGGUCAUUGGAAACUGGGAGACUUGAGUGCAGAAGAGGAGAGCGGAAUUCCAUGUGUAGCGGUGAAAUGCGUAGAUAUAUGGAGGAACACCAGUGGCGAAGGCGGCUCUCUGGUCUGUAACUGACGCUGAGGCUCGAAAGCGUGGGGAGCAAACAGGAUUAGAUACCCUGGUAGUCCA